Molecule: small nucleolar RNA, 127 nt
Organism: Suncus etruscus (white-toothed pygmy shrew)
Lineage: Eukaryota; Metazoa; Chordata; Mammalia; Eulipotyphla; Soricidae
Product: small nucleolar RNA SNORA31
Exons: 1
Source: RefSeq, a predicted model, not a curated record
AUGCAGAGAGACCUGCAGCAUUUGUUUAUCUGCUGUCUUGGUUUUCACUACAGAUGCAUGAAAAAGAAGUCCCUGCACUUGCUAUCUGUCUAAUGCGGCAGCCCAGAUUGAAGGGGGAAAUACAGGC